AGAACAAGAUUUGGAAAGUCUGCCACCCAAAUCGGUUUCUUCAUCUGAUACUAGAGUAAACAGGAGGCCAUAUAAAGAAACAGACAAUCAGCAGAAAACGUCACUCAGUGUCAGUUAUGAAGUGCACGGUAGUUCAAAAGGAGAAGAAGAGCAAAUGCUCGAAAAGCACCCACCUAAUACCUUACAGGGAUGUGAGCAGGGGCAUAAACAAUCAACGAACGACAACCUUUUACAAC
Mytilus trossulus (common blue mussel) is the source of this 236-nucleotide long non-coding RNA. RefSeq lists it as uncharacterized. The record is from RefSeq and is a predicted model, not a curated record. NCBI's taxonomy places the organism in Eukaryota, Metazoa, Mollusca, Bivalvia, Mytilida, Mytilidae. The transcript is spliced from 3 exons.